This 450-nucleotide ribosomal RNA is filed under the name uncultured bacterium. Its description in RNAcentral is "partial 16S ribosomal RNA". It matches the Rfam family "Bacterial small subunit ribosomal RNA", at positions 354 to 796 of the family's 1533-position model. The record is from RNAcentral.
GUGGGGAAUUUUGGACAAUGGGCGAAAGCCUGAUCCAGCCAUGCCGCGUGUGUGAAGAAGGUCUUCGGAUUGUAAAGCACUUUAAGUUGGGAGGAAGGGCAGUAAGUUAAUACCUUGCUGUUUUGACGUUACCAACAGAAUAAGCACCGGCUAACUUCGUGCCAGCAGCCGCGGUAAUACGAAGGGUGCAAGCGUUAAUCGGAAUUACUGGGCGUAAAGCGCGCGUAGGUGGUUCAGCAAGUUGGAGGUGAAAUCCCCGGGCUCAACCUGGGAACUGCCUCCAAAACUACUGAGCUAGAGUACGGUAGAGGGUAGUGGAAUUUCCUGUGUAGCGGUGAAAUGCGUAGAUAUAGGAAGGAACACCAGUGGCGAAGGCGACUACCUGGACUGAUACUGACACUGAGGUGCGAAAGCGUGGGGAGCAAACAGGAUUAGAUACCCUUGUAGUCC